Molecule: transfer RNA, 73 nt
Filed under: Nanobdellota archaeon
Lineage: Archaea; Nanobdellati; Nanobdellota
Description: tRNA-Glu
Rfam family: tRNA
About the family: Transfer RNA (tRNA) molecules are approximately 80 nucleotides in length. Their secondary structure includes four short double-helical elements and three loops (D, anti-codon, and T loops).
Source: RNAcentral
GCUCUUGUAGUCUAGUGGCCAAGGACGCGGCCCUCUCGCGGCCGAAACCCGGGUUCGACUCCCGGCAGGAGCA